CUUUGUAGGAAAUGACAAAGCGAUGACGUUAAUUUAUGAAUAAGCCCCGGCUAAUUACGUGCCAGCAGCCGCGGUAAUACGUAAGGGGCGAGCGUUGUUCGGGAUCAUUGGGCGUAAAGGGUGAGUAGGCGGAUAUGCAAGUCUAUGUGUAAAAUACCACAGCUCAACUGUGGAACUAUGCUGGAAACUGCAUGACUAGAGUCUGAUAGGGGAAGUUAGAAUUCUUGGUGUAAGGGUGGAAUCUGUUGAUAUCAGGAAGMAUACCAGAGGCGAAGGCGAACUUCUAGGUCAAGACUGACGCUGAGUCACGAAAGCGUAGGGAGCAAACAGGAUUAGAUACCCUGGUAGUCUACGCUGUAAACGAUGCACACUUGGUGUUAAUCGAAAGGUUAGUACCGAAGCUAACGUGUUAAGUGUGCCGCCUGGGGAGUAUGUUCGCAAGAAUGAAACUCAAAGGAAUUGACGGGGGCCCGCACAAGCGGUGGAGCAUGUGGUUUAAUUCGAUGAUACGCGAGGAACCUUACCAGGGCUUGACAUAUACAGGAUAUAGUUAGAGAU
This 558-nucleotide ribosomal RNA is filed under the name Borrelia miyamotoi. RNAcentral's name for it is "bacterial SSU rRNA". Lineage: Bacteria; Pseudomonadati; Spirochaetota; Spirochaetia; Spirochaetales; Borreliaceae. The record is from RNAcentral.